GGCGAAAGCCUGACGGAGCAAGACCGCGUGGGGGAAGAAGGCUCUUGGGUUGUAAACCCCUUUUCUCUGGGAAGAAAGUUGUGAAAGCAACCUGACGGUACCAGAGGAAUCAGCAUCGGCUAACUCCGUGCCAGCAGCCGCGGUAAGACGGAGGAUGCAAGCGUUAUCCGGAAUGAUUGGGCGUAAAGCGUCCGCAGGUGGCAGUUCAAGUCUGCUGUCAAAGACCGGGGCUUAACUUCGGAAAGGCAGUGGAAACUGAACAGCUAGAGUAUGGUAGGGGCAGAGGGAAUUCCUGGUGUAGCGGUGAAAUGCGUAGAGAUCAGGAAGAACAUCGGUGGCGAAGGCGCUCUGCUGGACCAUAACUGACACUCAGGGACGAAAGCUAGGGGAGCGAAUGGGAUUAGAUACCCCAGUAGUCCUAGCCGUAAACGAUGGAUACUAGGUGUUGUCUGUAUCGACCCGGACAGUGCCGUAGCUAACGCGUUAAGUAUCC
RNAcentral lists this ribosomal RNA (493 nucleotides) under uncultured Microcoleus sp. RNAcentral's name for it is "bacterial SSU rRNA". It matches the Rfam family "Bacterial small subunit ribosomal RNA", at positions 374 to 869 of the family's 1533-position model. Lineage: Bacteria; Bacillati; Cyanobacteriota; Cyanophyceae; Oscillatoriales; Microcoleaceae. The record is from RNAcentral.